CAUCUGACUUAUGUACUUUAGAACAGGAUCCGAUGAAUCAGUGUCCCCCAACGGAGGCAGGGCACUUCUCAAGGUCAUAGAUGGACCAAAUGGGCCUCCAUUUGAGAUCCCUCUUGUCGAGGGAAACAUUAGAUCUCCAAUACCGAGGUCGAUAGAUUUUGAAGGGAGAUCAUUUGGACGGUCUACUUUAUUCGAAAGAAAAGCACUAUCUGAGGAUUUAAGAUCUAGGAAAGGGUCAUCCAAAAAGAAACCAUCUGUGAGACUCGGGUAUCGAUCUGGACUAGUUGAAAAGGCAUGGCUAUCUAUGGGACGAUCAUCUCCAUUGAUACAAGCGGAGGAAUCAAAGAACAGAGGAUCCAUGGUCGUAUACUCUCCUCAAACCCUAUCAAAGUCUCUGCCCCAACAUCAUGUUUUGAUGCAAACCACCAGUAUGUUUGGACUCCUAGAAAGUCAACCAACUAAAUUAAAUUGCUCCCAACCUGCAACAAAAGAACUCACUCUCCAAUCUUCUUCUUCUUUUUCUCUUCGUUUGCUCAAACAAACUUCAAUUUAAAGUCAAAGAAUCCAAGAACAGACGGAUCACUUGCAGGGAAGAAAGCGGAGUACUUCAAAGGGCAAAGGACCACACGGGAGGUAAACAUCGAAACUUCAAAGGCAAAGGACCAUGCAGGAAGUAAACAUCGAAAUUGCUCCUCCAAAGCAAAUGAAAAGGAAAGGCACAGAACCCGACUUUUCAUCUACAACAUAGAAAAGGAAAAACAUGGAUUGGAUCGGAUCUGCAUGCCGCAAAUGGGAAAGUGGGGUUGGAAGCUGCAAAAAGACCGACCUGAUGACAAGUUCUUUCGAUGCGAUUCUUAAAAUACGAGCCAAUCAGGGGAUGAAUGAUUGCGUGCAGGUCAGCAUAUUCCGCGAAGGUGACGAGCUGGAUAACCCAACUCCGACUUGAUAUCCAAAAGAGAUUGGCGUAGGAUGAUUUGGGUCAAACAACAAGGCGGACACAGACGAUCUCCAUCUGCGCCUCUUCCUCUUCGUGUCCCUUCGACCCGUGAAUCGGUCAACCAUGGAUCCCGCUUUAACCAGCUGCGGAUGAUGAUUCGUUAGGUUUACCUAGCCAGUAAUUGGCAGCUGCUGCGAAACAAAAAAAGUCAAAGCAAAGAGGCAGAAAACUCCCGGGAAAAAACCACUAAAAAUUCUCAAAUUCGGACCGCUGUGUGCCGACCAAUACCUGAAUUUUUAUGUGUCUUUAAAAACUCUAAAUUACGCACGUGGCAAUAUCAAUAGCCUUGAUCUCGUCUAAUGUUGCCAUAAAAAAUUUUAUGUGGCUGGUUAAGAGGACAUCAAAAAGCAAACCGGACUAAAAUGACUUUGACAUGACUUAAGUGAAGAAAAAACACCGUCAUUAAAGUAAGAAAACAGUCCAUUGUUCUCCUUCGACUUCAUUAUUUCUUUUUCUUUUUACCUUUUUGCGCAAAAAGAAGCAUAUUAAGAAUUCAAUAAUUUCUUGUGUGUUUUGCAUUUUUCCAUUAAUGUCUGUGUGUGUAAGAGAUCCACAAUAAUCGGUCCUCAUUCGGCUUAGAAACUCAUUCUUCGACCCAUGGAGGGAAGCCCCUCUUCAAUUGGAAUUCAAGCUCAGGUGCGUGCAAUUGUGGUGAUUGGUUUGGUGUCUCAAGUGACCUUAAGGCUCUAUUCGUUUCGCAAAAAAUAUGACAUUUUUCAAAAAUAUUUCUAGGAAAAUAUGUUUAUUUUUCAAUGUUUGAGUAAAAUUUAAAAAUGAAGUGGAAAAUAUUUUUUGUUGGUUAGUAAGGAAUAUUUUUUAUCUCCAUACACUCUUUUUCAAUAAUUGUAUUAUUAUUUUAUCUUUUAAAAUCGAUUUUUUAUUUUUUUUAUUUUUUUAUAAAAAUCGAUUUUUAUUUCUUUCUUAUAUUUUGAAAAAUUGAUUAUCAAAUUAUCUUUUUCUUUUUCUUUUUCUUCUUUUCUUCUUCUUUUCUUUGUUUUGCUCUUCAUCUUCGAUCGGUUGCCAACAACCAACCACAAGAAAGCCUCAAGCGAGAGACUCUGGCGAGGCCCAAGGCCAACAAAUGCGAGACUCACCAAAUCGACAAGCUUAAGCCAAAGGCAAGGCUCGCACUCACUAAUCUGGCAAGCCUCGGGUGUCACUAGAUCUCGAGGCUUGCCAAAUUAGCGAGCUAGAGGCUCUUGCUCGCAGAUCAGGCGAGCCUCAAGCUUGCUAGCAAGGUCGAGGGUGGCUUGUAGCCAAUCGUCAACCGCCGUUGUGGCUAGCGACCAACCAAGAAAGAAGAAGAGGAAAACAAUGAAAAAAAAAAGAAAAAAAAAAGUAAGGACUUGUAGGGGUGUCAAAUGAGAGAGAGUAAGUGGGGGAAUUGUUUUCUCUUAUUUGAAAAGUAGAAACAUUUUCCUUUAUUUUAGAAGACUUUUUUUUCUUCAUGGAAAAUGUUUUCCUCAAGUAAUUCAUUUUCUAUGAAAGGAACACUAGAAAAUCUAGAAAAUAUUUUCUUAAAAAUUAUUUUCCACGAAACGAAUAAAGUGUAAUUAGACCUUCAUCUCUCAACAUCACCAUGAGAGAGAGAGAGAGAGAGAAAGAGAGAGAGUGAGUGAUGAAACCUUAUUUUUGAUCCAAUUCGACUUUAGCAACCAAAACAUUGUCGUUUAUGUUUCAUGGCCACAUCAAAUUAUCUCCGAACAAAACCUUGUUGUUAGCUACUUCCUUCCGUUCUCGGUACUCUAACAACAAUCUAGAAAGGAUUGUGAUUGAGCAUGUUGCUAUGAAUACUGGUGUCAUGGUUUGUAUAACAUGAAUUUUUCAUGUUAUUUUAUCAUCUUUCAAAUUAGUUGAAUUUGGGAUUUUUAUCUUAAGAGGGCAUGUGAAUAUUGGUUUGUUCAUAAAAUUAUAAAUGCAAGUAAACAUGUCAAACAAAUAAUAUAAUGAUAAGAACAAGUAUCGCCCCCACAAAGAUUUAUGAUUAAUAAAUUAAUUAAAUACUAAAAAUAGAUUAAUUAUAAAAUUUAUCUAACAGAUCAAAAUAGAAUUGAGAAUAAAUUAAAACUAAAAAUCUUAAAAAUUAAAUUUUGAGACUAAAUACAAUAAAUCAAUCAGAUAAAUAUGUUAGAGCAUCCGAUUUUAUAAUAACUAUUGGAUAUAAAUUUCAAAUUAUUAUGCAUACAAUAACGAUAUUAAACUUGUGAUAGUGGAAUUUCUUAAUUGAUUUACUAACCUACUCGGUUUACUAAUCAACUAUAUCUUUAUGUUAAUUUAAAUAAACAUAAGUGUAUUAAAAUUUAUGAAUAUUCCCGAUUUAUAAUGAGUCUUUUUUAUCACCAUCAACGAAAGUUACACAAAUAGCAUGGUAUAUCUCUAUCAACAUUUAAUUCAUGAUUAUUUAUUAUAAUGAGUAAUUAUAUAUCAUCACUUUUAAUCUCAAAUAUGCACAUUAGAUCAUUCAAGUGAUGAUCAGUCACUUGCACGCAUAAAAAUCAUGAAAUUCACAUAAUCAUGGUUAGGUUACAUCAUAACCCUAACAAAAGAAAAUUAGAAUAUUGUAGAAAAAGAAACGAAAAUAUAAAUUAAACCCAACGUCUUGAAUCAUAGAUUAAGAAUGUUGCUACCACAUUAUUUUCUCUCGAGAAUGCUAAAAAAAAAUACUCUCAAAAUAAUGAAAAAUAUCUAAAAAAAUUCCAAAAUCCUAGCUGUCUAUAUUAUCCUAUUUAUACAACAUGUUCAAGAAUCCUAACAAAAUGCAAUUGCUUAUUUUUUUGCAUAAAACCAAGGAAUAAAUCACAGAAUCCUUGAUUUAGUAUCCAUCUUCCAACACUUUUUAAUUUGAAUUUCUAAAUGACAAAAACUUCCUUACCUUCUUUUGCCAUCUUUUUUUACUUAUUUUCUCCAUAUCUCAUUAUUCUGCAUAAACAAUGAAGAUUUUGGUAAAUAGAAGGAAAUCCAAUUAUUUUCUACUGAAUAUUGCAUUAUAAAUUCAUUGCCUAAAAUAGGUAAAAUUAACUCUAUUAUUAUAGAGUUAUCAAACUCCCAAACUUAAUAUUUUGCUAGUUCUCAAGCAAAAGCAAGAUAUAACACAUACUCAAGCUAACAACAUCCUCCAUGACAUCUUUCCAUAAUUGCUCAAAUUCAUAAUUCAAAGAAAAACACAAAUUUCAUCCAAACAUUGAAAUUGAUUUAUAAUUUAAGACCAAUUCUAACUAUGUAAUCAAAAUGUGUGUGAGCCAUCAUCUUUUAAAAUUAUAUGUAAUCUAGAUAAAUUCAAAUUUGUAUACAACUUCUCAAAAAUUCUCUAUAAUCAUGACCAAAUCUUCUAGGUUUGCUUUUCAUUCAUCUCUCCACUAAUGUAAGCUAAUUAUCCAAUCAAAAAUCAAUAGGACUUUUCUCGGUUUAUAAUAUAAGAUUGUGCUAAAUGUGAGAUAACUUUAAUUUCAAGCUUAAAUCACCUAUCAACACAUUAAAAUCCAAAGUCCCCAAUUUCACUCCUUCAAGAUAUCUCCCACCACAUAUCAUCAUUCCUUUUUUUUCCUUCUUUUUUUUCAUUGCUCUUUUUUUUUCUUUCAAAUUGCUUUAUGGUGGAGUUCCACCCAAAGUCCCUCCUAAUAUAACAUGAAUAUCUCCAAUCCAUUGAGUAUCCAAAAGGCUCACUCAAAUGAAAGUUCAAUAGGGAACCAUAAAAGCCAUUUUUUUUUAUGAUAUACCCCAAACAACCAUAGCAUUCAAUUUUUUUUUCUUUUUCAUGCUCCGUCCUUUCUCCCAAAUUGUUAUUAGGCUAAAAUAAACUUUUAUCCAAAAAAAAAUCAAUAUGUUCAUGGGGCAUGUGACAAUGAUAUAAUUUAAUAAAAGUUAAGCUAAACAUAUAUUGAUGUCAAUGAAAAUUGGAUAAUAAUUAAUGCUCAACUUAGAGGGUUGGCAAGAAAUGCUCAAUUGAUCCAAAAAUUGUUUGGAUCAUUUUCUCAGUUAGAUGUAACUUAAAUUUUGCUUCAAGAGAAAAUCAAACAAAUUCUAAGAUUUCGGUGAGAUCUAAGAAAAUCACAUACUUUGCAUGAAUGUUCUCUAUAUUUACACACAAUUAAAAAAUUAAUGACUUUUAAAACUAGUAAGUGGAUCAACAUAAUCGGAAUUAAAAUUAACUCACACAUCAGUUGCAAAUUCAAACAAAAUUUAAAUUUUCCUAAGAAUCGCAAAAAUUCACAAUAAGGAAUGUAAUCAUGAUAAAAAAAAAAAUUGCAUUUAACAAAAAUUUUGUCUCCCCCCAAACUUGAGUGAAGCAUUGUCCUCAAUGUGAAAAAGAAAAAUAGAAACAAUGAAACUCCCCUUGUUGUAGGACGUGUCCAUGGAUGGCCUUGAUGACUAAACUCUUAAAACACAAUUCCUCAAGAAAGAAAAUUAACCUGGAUAAAAUAGCAAAAAAUUAAUCUCUUUUUUUUUGUGAAAAGUAAACUUAAUAAUAAAUGAAGAAACAUAAUGAAAAUUUUUAGGUGGCCUCCCAAGAAGCGCUUGGUUUAUAGUUUUUAACCAAACUAUCUCAAAUGUUACUAUUCCGGAUAAUCAAAUUCAGUGGUGGCCUUCUGCUUAUUGUAACCACAUUCAAAGUGGGCCUUCAAACGUUGACCAUUCACCUUGAAUGCGCCCUUGGUAUCAUGCGCAACUUCAACUGUUCCAUAUAGGAAUACUAAAGUGACUAUAAAAGGAUCAGAUCAUCAAGACUGUAACUUUUCUAAAUAAAAUAUAUAUAUAUAUAUAUAUGACGAGAAUUAUAAAAUAAAACUUUUUGACCAAUUUUGAACUCUCUUCUGAAUAUGUGUUUGUCAUGCCAUCUUUUUGUACGCUCCUUUUACAAUUCAAAAUUUUCAUAGAUCUCACUGCGAAAUUUCUCCAAUUCAUUCAGUUGCAACAAUUUUUCUUCACUUGUAGAUUGCAUGUCAAAAUUCAAAAAUUUUAAUGCCAAAUAUAAUUUAUGUUCUAAUUCCACUAAUAAGUGACAAGCCUUCCCAAACACUAGCCUAAAAGGAGACAUCUCAAUUGGAGUUUUGAACACAAUCUUAUAAGCCCAGAGUGUAUCAUCAAGUUUCAUUGACCAAUCUUUCCUUGAGGCAUUUACUAUUUUUUCUAAAAUUCUCUUGAUUUUCCUAUUUGAAACUUCUACUUGACAUUUAGUUUGAAGAUGAUAAGAGGUUGCAACUUCGUGCGUAACACCUACUUACUCAAAAUUACUUCAAACUGUUUGUCGUAAAAAAUGUGCUCUCUAUCACUUAUGAUUGCCUUAGGAAUGUCGAAUCGAGUAAAAAGUAUUUUUCUCCAAGAAUUUGACCACAACCUUAACAUUAUUUGUUAGCAAUACUACAGCUUCUACCCACUUAGACACAUAUUCCACAACCACUAAAAUGUAUAGAUUCUCAUAAGAAAUUGUAAAGGGUCCCAUGAAAUCAAUACCUCAAAUAUCAAAUAAUCCACACACAAUAAUAUUGUUUAAAGGCAUUUCAUUUUUGAAAUAUCUUUAGUUCUCUAACACCUAUCACAUGAAGUUGCGUAGAAGUAUGUAUCUUUAAAAAGUGUGGGCCAAUAAAAUCCAGAUUGUAAAAUCUUAGUUGCAAUUUUGGUGAUACCAAAAUGGCUACCUACCUCUCCAUCAAUGAUGUAGAAUGCUUGCCCUCUCUUAGCUUGGAACAAUCUCCUUAUGACCCAAUCUGCACAUAUUUUAAACAAGAAAGGCUCUUCCCAAAAAUAAUUUUUAACAUCAGAAAAGAAUUUUUUUUUUUUCUAUUGAUAUGAUAAUUCAGAAGAAAGAACAUUACUUACCAAAUAAUUCAUAAAGUCAGCAUACCAGAAAAUUUGUGUGGAUUUGAUGGAAAAAAAUUUCUCAUCAGGAAACUCUUCAAAAAUUAGUCUUACAUCUUCCUUUAAAUUCGUAAUUCUUCAUAAAUGAUCCACAAUUAGAUUUUCAACCCCCUUCUUAUCUUUGAUUUCCAGAUCAAAUUCUUGCAGUAAUAGAAUCCACCUUAUUAACCGGGGUUUUGAUUCUUUCUUUUCAAGCAAAGACUUAAGAGUAGAGUGAUCAAAAUAAAUCAUAAUUUUUUAGCCAAUUAAAUAAGAACGAAACUUAUUAAAAGCAAAAACUACAGCCUAAAGUUCAUUCUCUGUUGUUGAAUCAUUUAAUUGUACACGAUAAGGUUCAACUAACAUAGUAUAUGAUUUGAAAAACUCCAUUUUUUCCUUUGUCCCAAAAUAGCUCCCAUUGUAGAAUCACUAGCAUCACACAUCAACUCGAAAGGUAAACCUCAAUCUAGUGCUACCAUAAUUGGUGCUAACACUAAAUUCUCCUUUAAAAUGUUAAAAACAUGUAUGCAUUCAUCAGAAAAACUAAAAGGAACAUCUUUUUCCAAAAGAUUAGAAAGAAGUUUAGCAAUUUUUUAAAAAUCUUUUUUAACCACAUGUAAAGUCCUACAUACACCAAAAAUCCACUGACAAGUUUCACAAAUGUUGGUGGAGGCAAUUUUGCAAUGACCUCUAUUUUGGCUUAAUCAACUUCUAUUCCAUUUUGAGAAAUUUUAUACCCAAUCACUAUUCCUUCCUGCACCAUGAGUGACAUUUCACCCAAUUCAAAAUAAGGUUAGUCUCUUCACAUUUUUAUAAGAUCUAAGCCAAAUUAUUUAAACAAAAAUCAAAUGAUUGGAAAAAUCAUUUAUGAAAAUCUCAAUAUAUUUUUCAAUCAUAUCAGAAAAAAUAGCCAUCAUACAUCUCUAAAAAGUGCACGGUGCAUUAUAAAGACCAAAUGGCAUUCUUCUAAAAGCAAAAGUACCAUAGAGACAAAUGUAAGUAGUCUUCUCUUGAUCUUCUAGUGCAAUAGGAAUUUGAUUAUGCCCUGAAUAUCCAUCAAUAAAGUAAUAAAACUCAUGUCAUGCAAGUUUUUCCAACAUCUGAUCAAUAAAUAGCAAAGGUAGGUGAUCUUUUGUAGUGCCAUCAUUCAAUUUUCUGUAAUUCAUCCACACACACCACCCAGUAAUUAUUCUAGUUAGAAUCAAUCAUACCUUCUUUUUUUGGCACAACUUGCAUGAGACUUACCCGAGAACUAUCAAAGAUAAGAUAGAUAAUACCUGCAUCAAAUAGCUUAAUUAUCUCAACUUUCAUUACUUCUUGUAUAUUUGGGUUCAAAUGCCUCUGAGGUUGGAUAGUAGGCUUGUAUUGUUUUUCCAUCAAAAUUUUAGGGAAAAUUCCAAGUAAGGAUCCGGAGUGGACCGAUCUUCUCAAAUAAGGACCUGAAAUUAACUUUGUGUUAGAUAAAAAUCUAAAAUGUACCUAUUAUCUCAAAUAAUGACCCAAAGUGGUUGAAUCAAUUCCAAAUAAGGAUUUGAGCUUGCUAGUUAACCAAAUAUUCGCUGGCUGUCAAGCAUGUGACAUUUCCGAUGACAAGAAUUUGGAAAAUUUUGUUUAAAAAAAAUAUAUAUGGAAAAUUAACAAAUCCUUAAAGAGAAAAAAAAAAGGCCUAGGUUUUCUACGGUCUCCUCAUUCUUUGUAUCCAUCCUUUGCAAAGUCAAAGACUGAAGUUCUCCCAAUUCCUUGUACCCAUCCUUUGCAAAGUCGAAGACCCAAAUUCUCCACCGGUUGAGGCACGAAUUCAAAAACAAGAAGAAUACCAUAUGCUUCUUUCUUUGUUUGCGGAGACCCAAAUUCUCCAUCGGUCGAGCAAGGUGAGGAGUGACAAGAAUCGAGUCACGACGAUGACCGGGUAGCGAUUUGGUUGAGGAGCAGCGAGGAAGAAGAGAGAAGAAAACAUAAACAUCUAAAUAAAUAAUUUAAACCAGAAUUUUUCAUUCUUUUCCGAUCACAAAUUUCCGACAAAAUUGCCCAUAUUUUAAUCGCUGGAAAAUGCCUGCCGAUGAGCUAAGGUCCUCAAUAGAAAUUAACUUGAUCAUUCCGGGUACUUAUUUGACACAAAAUUCACUUCAGAUCUUUAUUUGAAACAAUGAAUUUAUUUCGAGUCCUUAUUUGACACAAAGUUUACUUUGGGUCCUUAUUUGAGAAAAUAGAUUCACUUCGGAUCCUUAUUUGGAAUUUUCCCAAAAUUUUAUACAUGCAAAGUGAAGGGCUAAUUCCUUGAUAUCGGCUAUUUUCCAUCCAAUUGUGCCCUUAUGCUCUCUCAAUACUCUAAGUAAUUUCUGCUCCAUCAAAUCUAUCAAGGAAGAAGAUAUAAUUACUAGUAAAUAAGAAACUCCAUCUAAAUAAACAUAUUUCAAAUGAGAAUGUAAAUGUUUGAGUUCAAUAAUUGUAUAACAUUCAAUUGAUGGUUUCAAUUUUGUUGUGCAUUGCCCCAACUCCUCAAAUUUAAUUGUCUUUUUCCUUGAAUAUGGUGGAAUUGCCUCCAUAAAAUAUGUGUACUCAUAUAUCUCCUCACUCUAAACUUCUUUGUCCUAUUGAACUAAACAUGCUUCAAGCAGAUCUUUAAAAAUAUUUUCUUGAAAAAUCUUAUUCGUCAUCUUGUCAACUAUCUCAACUCUAAAAUAAGAAUUAUCAUCAGAAUGAUAUUUCAUUACUUUAAAAACAUUAAAGAAAACAAGAUCAUCUUGAACUCUAAAUAUUAACUUCCCCUGUUAUACAUCAAUAAGGGCUCUUCCUAUUGCUAGAAAAUAUCGACCUAAGAUAAGUAGUACCUCAAAAUCUUUCUCCAUGUCAAGAAUUACGAAAUCUGCAGGAAAGAUAAAUUUGUCAAGCUUUACCAAAACAUCUUUCACAAUACCUCUCGGAUAUUUAAUUAAUUGAUCAGCAAGUUAAAGUGAUAUUGUGGUUGCUUUUACUUGCUUAAUCCUAACUUCUUGAAAACUGAAUAAGGCAUCAGACUAAUGCCUACACCUAAAUUACACAAUGUUUUUUUCAAAGAAAGAAUCUCAAACAAUGCAAAGAAUAGUAAAACUCCUCAUAUCUUUCAAUUUGGAAUUUGUUUUGUAAGAUGGCUAAACACUCCUUAUUCAACUUCACAGUUUCAUAAUCCUCAAUUUUCCUUUUGUUUGCCAAAAUCUCCUUCAAAAAUUUUAUAUAACUAGGCAUUUACACUAAGGCAUUUGCAAAAGGAAUAUUAAUGUGCAAUUUUUUAAAUACAUCAUGAAAUUUAGAAAAUUGUUUAUCUAUUUUAUGUUGCUGGAGUCGUUGAGGGAUGAAAUUGCUAACACAUAUAUCUUGGAAUUAUUAGGAAAAAGUUUGCUCUUGCCCGCCUCCUUUGAUUAUUUAUUGAUCUCCUCUUCUUUGUCUCUAAAAAUCUCUUAUUUGACAUCUUCUUCUCCCACUUGUUUACUACUUCUCAAGAUUAUAAUCUUUAUGUUUUCAAUUGGAUUUUUCUCUAUGUUGCUAAGUAAAGAACCCUAUUGUCUCCCUAUUUGCUAAUUAACCCACUAACAUCUCUAGAUUUUUUAUUCAAGCAUCUUGAUUUUGAAAUCUCACAUGCAUAAUAAAGUCAUGAGUAGUGUUAGCAAGUUUGGUGACUAUAUCUUCCAAAUUUGACUUUAUCUCUUCUAAUUGUUUGAAUCCCAGCGAUGAUCUCAUCAUAUUCCGAUGACUCCAUAAAAAUUUGGAUAAUUAUGCCAUCUAGGUGUUGGAGUAGGGAUUAUUCUGUGACCCGUUAAAAUUCCAAACAAAGUUAGCAUUUGUAUUAAGUUGUGAAAAAGGGUUAGCUACCUAACAUUAUAUGCUAACAUGUCGUCCACCACAAAAAUCACAUGUCAAAUUCUAAAUUUUCAUGGCCAAAAUAUUCACGUUAUCUAGCUUUUUGUUGAGUGCUUCAAAUUGUGCAACAAUUGUAGCAAAAGCAUCAACUUCACAAACUGCACUAGUUUUUCACAUCGGUAACUUCUCACUAAGCGACUGAUAACUAUUUGACACAAUCUCUUCUAAUAGAUUGUAGGCUUCUUAUAGUGUUUUAUUAUUUAGAGUUUCUCAUACGGCUGUAUCAAUCAUAGAACGAAGAUUUGUACUAGAUCCAUUAUAAAAAGUUCGUACCUACAUCCAUACAGGUAGUUCGUGAUGUGGACAUCUCCUAAGAAAUUUAUUGAAUCUUUCUCAUACUUCAUAUAAUGAUUUAUUAUCCAUAUGCAUAAAUUAGUAACAUUCGUUACACAUUUUUGCAGACUUUGCAAAUGGAAAGAACUUACUAAGAAAUUUCUAAGUUAUAUCAUUCCAUGUAGUGAUCGAUCCUGUAGAGAGAGAAGAAAGCCAACUCUUAGCUUUGUCUCUGGAAGAAUGGAAAUGAUCUCAAUCUAAUAACAUCAUCCGUAACUUCAUUAUAUUUAGUGGUAUCACAGAUUUUAAGAAGAGAAUCGAUGUGAGUAUUUGGAUCAUCACUUGGUAGCCCACUAAAUUGCACUAAUUAUUAUAGCAUCUGAAUGAGUGAUGACUAAAUCCCAAAGUUGUUUGCCUGAAUUGUAGGUCUCCUAAUGCUUGAUGUGGUGCCUUGAAUUAUCGGCGCAACAGAAUCUCUCAAGAGUCCACACAGAUUUUCAUUAUCACAAUCUGCCAUCUUUUUAGCAUAAUUUCUAUGUUCUCUUAGUCGCCUUUAAGAUGUUCCUUCGGUUUCUGAAUCAAACUCAACAAGUUUCCCUUGUUAACUAUGUAUCAUAAACUGAUGUACACCCAAAAAAAAAAAAGGACAACAAAAGUUAGAUUAAACUUAGAAUUAUCCAAUAUCAAUAUUAAUUAGAAUUAAACUAACAAUCCCCGACAACAAUGCCAAAAAAUUGUUCGUAAAAUUCUAAAUAUAAGUGAACGCGUCAAACAAGUAAUAUAAUGAUAAGAAAGAGUAUUAUCUCACGGAGAUCAAUAAUUAAUAAACUAAUUAAAUACUACAAAUAGAUUAAUUCUAAAAUUUAUCUAACAUAUCAAAAUAGAAUUGUAAAUAAUUUAAAACUAAAAUCUUAACAGCAAAAUUUGGAGACUAAAUGCAGUAAAUCAAUCAGAUAAAUAUGUUAGAAUAUUUGAUUUCACCAUAACCACUAGAUAUGAGUUUCAUAUUAUUAUGCAUAUAAGAACGAUAUUAAAUAUUUGAUAGCGGAAUUUCCUAAUCUAUUUACUAUCAUAUUUCUAGGUAUAACAAACUUACUCAGUUUAUUAAUCCACUAUAUUUCUAUAUGAAUUUAAAUAAAUAUAAGUGCAUUAAAAUCUAUUAAUAUUCCUGGCCUAUAAUGAGUAUUUUGAAUCGCCUUCUCACCGAAAGCUAUAUAAAUAACAUUGUAUAUCUCUAUCAAUGUUUAAUUCAUGGUUAUAGACUAUAAUGAGCAAUUGUAUAUCAUCACUUUUUAGUCUCAAAUAUGCAUGUCAGAUUAUUUAAGUGGUGGUCAAUCACUUAAAAACAUUAAACACAAUAAUAUGUAACUCACAUGAAUAAAAUCACUUGCGUGCAUAAAAAUCAUGAAAUUCACAUCAUCGUGGUUACAUCGUAGCCCUAACAAAUGAAGAUUAGAACAUUGUAGAAGAAAUACAAAAAUAUAAAUUAAAGCAACAUUUUGAAUCAAAGAAGAAGAAUUCUGUCACCACUUUGUUUUCUCUUCAGAAUGCUCAAAAAACUCCCAAAGCAAUUAAAAAAUGAUCUAAUAAAGCCAAAAACUUAGCUAUUUCUAUUAUCCUAUACAUAGGAUAUAUUCAAGAAUCCUAACAAAUGCACUUGCUUAUUUUUUCACAUAAAUUCAAGGAAUAAAUUGCAUAAUCCUUAAUUGGAUAUCCAUCUUCCAACGUUUUUUAACUUGAAUUCAUAAAUCACAGAAUUUUCCUUUCCUUCUUUUGCCCUUUUUUUUCCUUAUUUUCUCCAUAAACAAUGAAUAUUUGGAUAUAUAGAAGGAAAUCCAAAUAUUUUCUAACGCAUAUUGCAUUACAAAGUACCAUGUUGCCUAAAAUAGAUAAAAUUCUCUAUUACUAUAGAGUUAUCAGGUUUCUACUUUAGAAUUGGUCAAAAGCUGCAUCACGAAAUCGGUGACCUAGCACCACUUAGCUAGAGGCUUCUCCUAAGCUUAACUUCAACGGCACCCCAUCAGUAGAAUUAUGCAAUUCCAUCAGCAUUGUCAAGAUUUUUACACAUCCGCACCAUAAACCUAGAAAAAUCAUGACCAUUUAUUUAGUAAAUUUAAAUGAAAUACGUGUCAAUUUCGUCACAUCGAUUAUUAAGGAAAAAAAAACAUUAGGCGGAAACACCCAUAAUAAACUAAUCUAAUUGAAUAGCAUCCUACGAUACUUAGCAACAUUAUUAAGAAGAAACAAACAUGACAGUUAGUGUCUCAUUCUAUACAUCAAUGACCAUAUUGAAACUAUGCAAUAUAGAUUCAUUGCAUAAAUAUUUCUAUUUAUUUUAUUGAUAAAUAGAUUUUAUUUUUUUUGGUCGGAUAUUGAUAAAUAGAUUGGAAAAUUGAAUUUAAAUUAGAUUUUGGAGGAAAACACAUUAUUAAGUACUAGUUAAUGUUAUCUUUAAAUUAUCUGAACUUAUUAUUGCGCGGACGCGGCAACUUGCGCGCACGCCCACUAGUUUAAAACAGAUAUUUCUCAUCAAACUUUAGGAUUAGCUCUAUCCUGCCACGUGUGCAUAAUUAUACUCAAUUAAAAUGUAGAAAAGCUACGCACUUGCAGAUCAAAUCAAUCUCAAACCACCCCCCAAAAAAAGAAAAAAAAAAUCAUUUAUCAGUCGUUGGUGUAAAUGAAACAAUUUACUGACAAACUGAAUUGCAUGAGAAUUCAAUUAUAUAUACAAUAACUAGUUUAAUCACAUACUUGAUCUCCCUUAUAUAUAAACCUACAAUUGACCCAUCCAAAUUUCUUCACAGGAAGACAAAACCGAGAUACAAAUAAGAUGCCCGCAUGCCACGAAGUACCCAGAAGUUCAAUUGUCCUUAAGUUCCCUUGAAUACAGAAACAACUUUGGCAUGAGCAUAAUUUGACUGCAUCACAUGUGGAAACAUCAUCCUUAAUGGGCCCCAUCUUGGAUAAUCAAGCUCUCAAAGAGCUAAACACCGUUCAGUAUUAUGGGAUACUAGUAAACAUCAGAGCCACCAAGCGAAAAGCACAAACCGUACACAAUAAUUGCGCACCCAUACCCAUUAUCAGCUUCGAGCUGCCAUGUUUGCUCGCAGAACUUGUGAGAUAUAUGAUAGACAAAACACAUUAUCGGCAAAAGCUGCAAAACGUAUCUUCCUAUCUCAAGGGUUGAUAAACAGUAAGAAAACAUUGCAGAUUCAAAACUGUUAUGCAAUUAGAAAGAUACACACACAAACAGAAGAGCGGGAAAUAGGUACAUUCUGAGCUACUCUAAUAAAAUCCUUGACCUGUUGACUCGGGAAGAAUCCCUGCAAUGAACAGGUCAUGACGGAAAGCAUUCCUUUUGGAGCCAUCCUAAAUGGGUACCCAACAGGAGGAGCCAAUGAUAAUCCGACCUCUCCAAGCUUGCAGCAUCCAGUUGCCGUCUUCAUUAAGCGCAAAAUCCUUGUGGUACCAUUCUUUCAUCUUACCCCUGAAGAACUUCAUGAGCUCUUGGUCCAGAGGAAGCGCCUUAAAUCCAGCCCUCAUAUGACGAACCUGCCAUUGCUUGUACGUUUCCGACCUCUCAACCCUUUCCGAACCUUCACAUGCUACAAUAUUCAUAAUUUCCCAACCAUGGAGCUCUCUCUCAAUAACCAACCUCUCAUUGCUGUCGCCAUCUAAAAUAGCAUCAAACAUAUCAUAAAUUGCGGAAAGAUGAAAAAGUGCCUCUCGGAAUCUUGUCACAAAAAAGGGCGCAUUGAAGGAGCCGUUAGAUACAGCAUGAACAAAAAUAUCUGGUUUAAUCUGCCAAAUUAGAUUCAACACAGCAUCCCGUGGACAGUUGUCCCCAACUGUCUCAUCAAGGAGAAUCCUAAACCGAUCUGAACUAUUCACAGCAACUAUCUCAUUGCUUUGAAUCUUGAGAUCCUCGAGUUUGACAGAUUCCCAAUUCUUCGAUACUAUGUAAUUGAAUUCAAAAGGGACAUUAAAACGCUUACAACACUUUUCCAAAUGACGACCUGUCUCUUCUAGUUUUUCUGACGGGCGGAAACCAGCCUGUGGAAGCUCUAUCCCUGUGAUGCGCAAUUUACAGGGCCCUUCUGAUCGAGAAGAGAGCUUCUGGAUGAGGGUUGGCCAUUGAAAACCAAAUCCAAUGCCAAAAUCUAUUAUAUGCAAGGUAGUGGCUUUCUCUGCAAAUCUCAAAAUCAUGUAAUUUGCAAAGCAAAUGGAUAACUUACUAAACGGACAUGUUGAAAUGUGAAGGUGGUAAGCUUUCAAGAUAUCGGCUGCUGAGGUCCUCCUGGCGACAUAAAUAGAAAAAAGGUGUUGCAUUCGAGUCCCGCUGCCCACCAAUCGUGCCUCUAGCCCAUUGGCAAAGUAAUGGGCCAGUCUUUGAGAGGCAUCCCCAGAUGGAGAAGAGUUCUCCCUAAUCUGCUUCAACGAUUCAUUAGCAGUCCUGAAAUCACUAGUAGAGAUGGCUUGUGCACAGAGAAUCAGAAGAGUUCUCAAGUCAACAGUAUUUUCACUUCCCUGCUUCUUGCCACGGCCUCUACCUCUGUUGGAACUGUGCACGUUCCUCUGUGACCGUAUGUCUUUGCUCAGCCCUGUCUCCGCAGAUUUAUCACCGGAACACAUAGCCUCCACCAUUUUCGUUGCAUAGCAACAACUUAUCGAACAAAUCGGAAAACUCACUCUCUUCUGUAUACAAGGCUGUUUGCUUCUUGGCCUUGCCUUCGUCAAAAGCAUCCUCGUCCCUCUUGUGAUUUUUUAAUCCCUUGAAUUUAUCAGUUGAGCGCCUCAUGUUGAUCUCCUCACUGAUGCGCAUUCUUGGGGUUCCUUUCUCUGUUUCUGAUGGCGGUUUGCUGUCCCCUGGGUUAAUUCCUAAUUGAUUGUUGGUAGGAAGGAAUUUGCUGGCCUCCUCUAAUCCUUUCUUGAACUGAACCAUAGACUCACUAGCAGUGAAAAUGCUCUUGACAAGAAGCUCGUGCAAAGAUUCCUCAGACCCAUCAUAAUUUGUGAUGCUGCUUGAAGAUUUGGACAACAUCCGUGAACUGGAAUCCGCGUUUGACUGGAAGUCCAGGUCAGAAUUUUCCUGCACAGCAUGGCCAUGUUCUUCGAUCGUGUAAAGAAUAUUAGCAUCAGCUGAGUCGCUAGAGCUAACAGUAACGCUUGCAGCAUCGAGGCUUCCACGAGCACUGCUACUUCCAGAAAGUUUGCUAUUUGGGCUCUCGAUAUUAUGGCUUAAAACAAGCUGUGAGGGGCUUUGGUCAGACACCUCUGAAUGCUGCUGACCAAGGGCAUCGUACAAUGACUUUUCAGCAUUCUGCAGAGCAACCUGAUUAGCAAAUUCCCACGGUUGCUCCUCCAUGUUCUCUUCCAUAAGCAUCUGACUUAUGUACUUUAGAACAGGAUCCGAUGAGUCCGUGUCCCCCGAUGGGGAGAGCGAAUAUCCCCCUAAACUCAGGGCACUAUUCGAGCUCAUAGAUGGGCCAAAUGGGCCUCCAUCUGAGAUCCCGCUUGUCGAGGGAAACAUUAAAUCUCCAAUACCGAGGUCUACCGAUGUUGAAGGGAGAUCAUUCGCAGGGUCUACUUCAUUCAAAAGAAAAGCACUAUCUGAGGAUUUAAGGUCGAGGAAAGGGUCAUCCAAAAAGAAACCAUCUGUGAGACCCGAGUAUCGAUCCGGACUAGGUGAAAAGGCAUGGCUAUCUAUGGGACGAUCAUCUCCAUUGAUACGAGCAGAGAAAUCAAAGAACAAAGGAUCCAUGGUCAUGUAUUCUUCUCACUCAUACCCUAUCAAAGUCCCUACCCUAACAUCAUGUUUUGAUGCAAACCACCAGUAUAUUUGGACUCCCAGAACAUCGACCGACUAAUUUGAAAUGCUCUCAGCCUGCAACAAAAGAACUCGCUCUCCAACCAUCUUCUUUUUUUUCUCUUCGUUUGCUCAAACGACUUCGAUUUGAAGUCAAAGAAUCCAAGAACGGACGGAUCACUUGCCGUGAGAAAAGCGGAGCACUUCAAAGGCAAAGGACCGCGCGGAAAGUAAACAUCGAAAUGCUCCUCCAAAGCAAAUGAAAAGAAAAGGCAAGGAACCCGAUUUUUCAUUUACGAGAUAGAAAAGGAAAAACAAAGGUUGGAUCUGCAUACCACAAAUGUGAAAGUGGGUUUGGAAGCUGAAUAAAGGCCCAUCUGAUGACAAGUUUCCUUCGAUGCGAUUCUUGUACGAGCGAAUCAGCUGACUAAUGAAUGCGUGAAGGUCGGAAUACUCCACGACGUAGACGAGCUGGAAGACUCGACUUCGACUGGAUAUCCGUAGAGAGAAUGGUGCAGGAAGAACUAGGUCAAACAAUAAGGCGCGCCCGGAUGGUCUCCGUCCGCGCGUCUUCCGCUUCGUGUACGAUGUAUCUGACCUUCGAUCGGCGGAACGAUCGGUCAACCAUUGGUCCCGCUUUGACAAGCUGCAAAUGAUGAUGCGUUAUGCUUUUUUUGGCUCGAAAAGAUGCGUCAUUUUUUUCCCGUCGUAAAAAGAUGCGUUAUGUUUUUUUGUCAUAAAAAUAUGCAUUAUUUUUUUUUCUUUUUGGUCAUAAAAAGAUGCGUUAUGUUUAUCAGCCACUAAAUGACGGCCGCUACGAGACGAAAAUGUAGAAACAAAGACACAGAAAACUCCUGGAAAAUAACCACUAAAUAUUCUCAAAUCAGGACCACUGUGUACCGAUUAAUACCCGUGCUAUUAAAAACUCCAAAGUACGUAAGCAUUAAUAUUGUUGUAAUGCCAAUGUGAAAGCUAGCCGAGAUCUUACAAUUUAUAUCGCUGCAAAAUUACUUGAGAAAAUAAAUGAGGAACGAUAAAGGAAUCAAAAGAUUUACGUGAUUUGGCGGGAAGUGUCGAUAUCACAGCAGAAUUAGUAGCAAAAACUCCAUCGUAAUGGGAGAAUCAAAAUUUAUAAUUAUUCGCAAGCUCAGGUUUUACUCAAGGUGUUUACAAAUAAAUAUCAUAUAUCUACAUCUCUUCUCAUACAUUUCAGCUCCUUUUCCUUUCCUAGGCAUGUCUUGUUUGUGUCUAUGAUCCUUGUCUCUCAAGGAACACCCUUCAGUAUAGGGGUGAUCAGUUGGGAACCAAGGACUGGACCAAUUGGUCCUAAGAUUGGGAACCGGACUCGACCAUCGGUUUUAUCCGGUCCAAUAGAACCCGUCACUAUUCUCUUUUUAUGUUUCCAUCCGAAUAUUUAAUUGUCCAAAACAUGACUUGGAAACAAAUGCAGAACUCAAGACAAAUCUUUUACUUGCAUCCAUAUUUUCCUGGAAAAAAUAAACUAGCCAUUCCUUUUUGCAGACCUUUGCUUCCCUACGUGGCUCUUUGCAUUAAAAAAUGUAUACAUAAUCGGUCUAAUCCAAUCCAAUUCCCUCUUGGAUUGAAAAUUAGACUGACACUUUCGAAAACUGGAUUCAACCAGCCAUUCCUUUUUGCAGACCUUUGCUUCCCUACGUGGCUCUUUGCAUUGCACGAAGGAACCCGCGGCGGCUACAUGGUGGGAAAGGGACGACGUAGGGCUUAGCCGAAAGAAAACCUAUGUUUUUAACUUUGCUUUCCUUUCUUAUUUCUAAUUUGUCCUGGCCCCACGUUGCUUCCUUUCGUCCACGCCCACUUCCUGGUCAAAUGUUCGAACUUGGACAAAUGAAUAAUCAGUGCAUAACCUGAGCUAAAUCUCGCACAUUUAUCCAAUCAUGUAUCAGGUCAGUUCCGUAUAGGGCUCAUACUCAAAAUAUAUUUUAACAAUUAUCAAUAGCCUGCCUUGAUCUAGUCUAAUACCAUUGUCAAAAAUAGUAUAUUUUAACAAAUAUCAAUAGCCUGCCUUGAUCUAGUCUAAUACCAUUGUCAAAAAUAGUAUAUUUUAACAAAUAUCAAUAGCCUGCCUUGAUCUCGUCUAAUACCAUUGUCAAUUAUGUUACGUGGCUGGUCACAAAGACAAUGGAAAGUAAAUGAGACUAAUAUGAAUCCAACAUGACUUUAAUGAAGAAAAAAUGAGGUUUUUUUAGCAAGGCAUUAUUUCUUUCAUUUUUACCUUUUUCACAAAAAGGAAAAUAUUAGAAAAUUGAUAAUUUCUUGUGUGCUUUGUAUUUUCCAUUGAUGUUUGUAUAGGUGAGUGAUCCCGAAUAAUCCAUCCUCAUUCAGCUCAACAACUCAUCCUUCGACCCAUAGACGCCCCUCUCUAAUUGGAGUUCGAGCUCUGGUGUGUCCAAUUGUUGUGAUUGGUCUAGCGUCUCAGUAAACUUAAUUCCUAAGCUUUCAUCUCUCAACAUCACCAUGAAUGGGGGAGAGAGAGAUGAAAACAGUAAACUUAAUUCCUAAGCUUUCAUCUCUCAACAUCACCAUGAAUGGGGGAGAGAGAGAGAUGAAAACCUAAUUUUUGCUAAUCAACUUUAGCAACCAAAACAACGUCAUUUUUGUUUCCUAGCCACAUCAAAUUAUUUCCCAAUAAACCGUUGUUUUUCACUACAACCUUUCGUUGUCAGUACUCCAACAACAGUUUUGAAAGGAACUGUGACUGAGCAUGUUGUCAUGAAAACUAAUGUCACAAUUAGUAUAAUUUGGGAUUUUUAAUGUUAUUUUUUCAUUUUUCAAAUUAGAUGAAUUUGAGAUUUUUUUUUUCCUUAAAACCGCUUGUGGAUAUCAGUUUCUACUUUUAAUAUGGUCAAAAUCUGCAUCACGAAAAUGGGGCCUAGCAUCACUGGUUAAAGGCCUAGCUAGAGGCUUCUCCUAAGCUUAACUUCGACGGCACCGCAUGGGGAAAAAACUAUGCAAUUCCAUCAGCAUUGUCAAGAUUUUCGCACUCCGAACUAUAAAUCCCUAGAAAAUCAUGACCAUAUAUUUUGUAAAUUUAAAUUUUAUUACAUAGAUUAUUAAGAAAAAAAUUCAUCAAGCAGGACAAAACAAAAUAAAUUAAUUUAAUUGAAUAGCAUUCUAUGAUAUUUAACAACAUUAAUAGAAAGAAAAAAAUAUAACAGUCCCGGUGUCUCAUUCUCAUACAUCAAUACCACGAUUCCAUAACUGUGUAGCUGUCGGAACUAUGCGAUAUCGAUUCACUACAUAAAUAUUUGUGUUUAUUUUAUUGAGAAAUGGAUUGGAAAAUGAAUCUUAGAUUUUGGAGUAAAAGAAACUAUUUAUGUUUAUUCACAUGUGUUGAUUUUAUUACAUCGAUUCAAGCAAGACAAAACAGAAUAAAUUAACAAAAUUGAAUAGCACUCUGCGAUAUUUAACAACAUUAGUAGGAAGGGAAAAAAACAUAGCAGUGAGUUUCUCAUUCUUCUACAUCCAUGGCCAUGAUUCCAAACUGUGUAGCUAUUAAAACUGUGCGAUAUUGAUUCCCUGCAUAAAUAUUUCUGUUUAUUUUAAUGAGAAAUAGAUUGAAAAAUGAAUCUUAGAUUUUGGAGGAAAAGAAACUACUUCUAUUUAUUCACACAUGUUGAUUUUAUUAUAUCGACAAUUAUUAAGAAAAACUUUUCAUCAAGCCAAAACAAAUUAUAUAAUUGAAUAGCAUUCUAUGAUAUUUAACAACAUUAAUGAGAAGAAAAAUCAUGGCAAUCAGUAUCUCAUUCUUUUACAUCAAUGGCUGUGAUUCCAAAACUAUGUAGCAAUUGAAACUAUGCAAUAUUGAUUCACUACAUAAAUUUUUCUGUUUAUUUUAUUGAGAAAUAGAUUGGAAAAUGAUUCUUGGAUUUUGAAGGAAAAGAAACCAUUAAGUGCUAAUUAACGUGGGAGCUUACUAUCGCAAGGAACUGGCAACAUGUGGGCACACCCACUAAGAUAUUUGCUCAUUAAACUUUAGGAUUGGCUGUCACCUCCCAAUGCAUGGUUAUGCUUAAUUAAAAUGCAGAAAACCUAGAACUUUUGCAGAUCAAAUCAACCUCAUCCCCCUCCCCCCCAUCUAUCAGACAGUGGUGUAAAUGAAACAAUUUAUUGACAGACUGGAUUGCAUGGGAAUUCCAUUAUAUCUACAAUAACUAGUUUAAUCACAUACUUGAUCUCCCUUGUAUAUAAACCAGCAAUUGACCCAUACAAAACAGAGAUGCAAAAACAAUGCCAGAAUGCCAGAAAGGAUCCAGAAGUUCAAUUGCCCUUGAGUUCGCUUGAAGACAGAAACAACUUUGGCAUGAGAACAAUUUGACUGCAUCACAUGUGGAAACAUCAUCCUUUACGAGCCCAACCUUGGGUACUCAAGUUCUCAAAAAGCUAAACAGCUUGCGGUACGAUAGGACACUAGUAAACAACAGAGCCAUCAAGCGAACAGCACAGACCGUACAUGAUAAUCCUGCACCCACAUCCAUUAUCAGAUUCGAGCAGCCUUGUUACUUGCAGAACUUGUGAGAUACAGGAUAGAGAAAUCACGACAAACUAUCUGCAAAAUUCGCAAUGUGGUGCGGCAUAGAAGCUGUCAAUUGUAUCUUCCUAUCUUGAUUAACAGUAAGACAAUAAACAGUCAGACAACAUUGCAGAUUCAAAAUUGUUUGCAAUUAAAAAUAUACAUCCACAAACAGAAAGAGUGGGAAAUCAGUAGAGUCUGAGCUACUCUAAUAAAAUGCCUAGACCUGUCAACCAGGGAAGAAUCCCUGCAAUGAACGGAUCAUGACAGAAAAUAUUCCUUUUGGAGCCAUCCUAAGCGGGCACCCAACAGGAGGAGCAAUAAUUAAUCCGACCUCUCCAACCUUGCAGCAUCCAGUUGCCAUCUUCAUCAAGCGCAAAAUCCUUGUGGUAACAUGUUUUCAUCUUACUCCUGAACAACUUCAUGAGCUCUUGGUCCAGAGGAAGCGCCUUAAACCCAGCCCUCAUAUGACGAACCCGCCACUGCUUGUAUGUUUCUGGCCUCUCAACCCUUUCCGAACCUUCGCAUGCUAUGACAUUCAUAAUUUCCUGGCCAUACAACUCUCUCUCAAAAACAAACCUCUCUUUGCUGUCACCAUCUAAAAUAGCAUCAAACAUAUCAUAAAAUGCAGAAAGAUCAAAAAGUGCUGCACGGAAUCUUGUCGCAAAAAAGGGCGAAUUGUAGGAGCCACUACGUACAGUAUGAACAAAAAUAUCCGGUUUCAUUUGCUGAAUUAGAUUCAACACAGCAUCCCGUGGACAGUUGUCCCCAACUGUCUCAUCAAGGAGAUUCCUAAACCGAUCUAAACUACUCACAGCAACUGUCUCAUUGCUUUGAAUCUUGAGAUCCUCGAGUUUGAUGGAUUCCCAAUUCUUCGAUGCUAUGCAAUUGAAUUCAAAAGGGACAUUAAAACGCUCACAAAACUUCUCCAAAUGACGACCUGUCUCCUCUAGUUUUUCUGACGGGCGGAAACCAGCCUGUGGAAGCUCUAUCCCUGUGAUGCGCAAUUUACAGGGCCCUUCUGAUCGAGAAGAGAGCCUCUGUAUGAGGAUUGGCCAUUGAAAACCAAAUGCAAAGCCAAAAUCUAUUAUAUGUAAGGUAGUGGCUUUCUCUGCUAUUCUCAAAAUCAUGUAAUUUGCAAAGCAAAUGGAUAACUUAAGAAACGGACAUGUCGAGAUAUUAAGGUGGUAAGCUUUCAAGAGAUCGGCUGCUGAGGUCCUCCUGGCGACAAGACUUGAAAUGAAGUGUUGCGUUCGAGGCUCGUUGCCCAACAAUCGGGCCUCUAGCCCAUUGGCAAAGUAAUGGGCCAGUCUUUGAGACCCAUCGCCAGAUGGAGAAGAGUUCUCUCUAAUCUGCUUCAACAAUUCAUUAGCGGUCCUGAAGUCACUAGUAGAGAUGGCUUGGGCACAGAGAAUCAGAAGAGUGCUCAAGUCAACAGUAUACUCACUUCCCUGCUUCUUGCCACGACCCCUACCUCUAUUGGAACCGCGCUUUUUCCUUUGUGGUCGUAUGUCUUUGCUCAGCCCUGUCUCCACAGAUUUAUCGCCAGAACACAUAGCCUCACCAUUUUCGUUGCAUAGCAACACCUUGUCGAACAAAUCGGAAAAUUCACUCUCCUCUGUAUACAAGGCUGUUUGCUUAUUGGCCCUGCCUUCGUCAAAAGCAUCCUUGUCCCUCUCGUGAUUUUUUAAUCCCUUGAAUCCAUCAGUUGAGCGCCUCAUGUUGAUCUCCUCACUGAUGCGCAUUCUUGGGGUUCCUUUCUCUGUUUCUGAUGGCGGUUUGCUGUCCCCUGGGUUAAUUCCUAAUUGAUUGCUGGUAGGAAGGAAUUUGCUGGCCUCCUCUAAUCCUUUCUUGAACUGAAGCAUAGACUCACUAUCACUGAAAAUGCUCUUGACAAGAAGCUCGUGCAAAGAUUCCUCAGACCCAUCAUCAUAAUUUGUGAUGCUGCUUGAAGAAUUGGACAACAACCGUGAACUGGAAUCCACGUUUGACCGGAAGUCCAGGUCAGAAUUUUCCUGCGCAGCGUGGCCAUGUUCUUCGAUCGUGUAAAGAAUCUUAGCAUCAGCUGAGUCACUAGAGCCAACAGUAAUGCUUGUAGCAUCGUGGCUUCCACGAGCACUGCUAAUUCCAGAAAGGUUGCUAUUUGGGCUCUCGAUAUUAUGGCUUAAAACACGCUGUGAGGGGCUCUGAUCAGACACCUCUGAAUGCUGACCAAGGGCAUCGUACAACGACUUUUCAGCAUUCUGCAGAGCAACCUGAUUAGCAAAUUCCCACGGUUGCUCCUCCAUGUUCUCUUCCAUAAGCAUCUGACUUAUGUACUUUAGAACAGGAUCCGAUGAGUCAGUGUCCCCCGAUGGGGAGAGCGAAGCUCCCCCUAAACUCAGGGCACUAUUCGAGCUCAUAGAUGGACCAAAUGGGCCUCCAUCUGAGAUCCUGCUUGUCGAGGGAAACAUUAAAUCUCCAAUACCGAGGUCUACAGAUUUUGAAGGGAGAUCAUUGGCAGGGUCUACUUCAUUCAAGAGAAAAGCACUAUCUGAGGAUUUAAGGUCGAGGA
RNAcentral lists this long non-coding RNA (23911 nucleotides) under Eucalyptus grandis. RNAcentral describes it as "long non-coding RNA (EGRA_LNC000950)". Lineage: Eukaryota; Viridiplantae; Streptophyta; Magnoliopsida; Myrtales; Myrtaceae. The record is from RNAcentral.